AUUGAACGCUGGCGGAAUGCUUUACACAUGCAAGUCGAACGGUAGAGGGGGCAACCCCUCGAGAGUGGCGAACGGGUGAGUAAUAUAUCGGAACGUGCCCAGUCGUGGGGGAUAACGUAGCGAAAGUUACGCUAAUACCGCAUACGAUCUACGGAUGAAAGCGGGGGAUCGCAAGACCUCGCGCGAUUGGAGCGGCAGAUAUCAGAUUAGGUAGUUGGUGGGGUAAAGGCUCACCAAGCCAACGAUCUGUAGCUGGUCUGAGAGGACGACCAGCCACACUGGAACUGAGACACGGUCCAGACUCCUACGGGAGGCAGCAGUGGGGAAUUUUGGACAAUGGACGCAAGUCUGAUCCAGCCAUUCCGCGUGCAGGAUGAAGGCCCUCGGGUUGUAAACUGCUUUUGUACGGAACGAAAAGGUUUCCAUUAAUACUGGGAGCUCAUGACGGUACCGUAAGAAUAAGCACCGGCUAACUACGUGCCAGCAGCCGCAGUAA
RNAcentral lists this ribosomal RNA (496 nucleotides) under uncultured bacterium. RNAcentral describes it as "partial 16S ribosomal RNA". It matches the Rfam family "Bacterial small subunit ribosomal RNA", at positions 30 to 523 of the family's 1533-position model. The record is from RNAcentral.